This 293-nucleotide ribosomal RNA is filed under the name uncultured bacterium. Its description in RNAcentral is "partial 16S ribosomal RNA". It matches the Rfam family "Bacterial small subunit ribosomal RNA", at positions 505 to 796 of the family's 1533-position model. The record is from RNAcentral.
GUGCCAGCAGCCGCGGUAAUACGUAGGGUCCGAGCGUUGUCCGGAUUUAUUGGGCGUAAAGAGCUCGUAGGCGGCUCAGUAAGUCAGAUGUGAAAACUCAGGGCUCAACCCGGAGACGCCAUCUGAUACUGCUGUGGCUUGAGUCUGGUAGGGGAUCACGGAAUUCCUGGUGUAGCGGUGAAAUGCGCAGAUAUCAGGAGGAACACCGAUGGCGAAGGCAGUGAUCUGGGCCAGUACUGACGCUGAGGAGCGAAAGCGUGGGUAGCAAACAGGAUUAGAUACCCCGGUAGUCC